CACUGCUGAGAUCAGGAGCAACUCCUGCGUCUGCAGAGACGCUAGGAUGGAUGAGUUAUUUCACGGGGCGAACACCAGCCCCUGACUCUCCCAAAGUCUCCUGUUUCAUCUCUGCAGAGACCCUCCGGCUGCAGAGAGUGCAGUGACUCGGCUGCAGCUCACGCUACAGAAGAAGAACAUCUGGACGACGGCCGAAUUUCUCCUCUCUUCCUCGGCGAGUUUGGACUUCGUGGGACACCCCAGGAACUUCGCGAAACUGACGUGCUAUGCAUCGGAGACGCGGUCAACCCGUCAAUAAGAACUUCAGGUCUCCUGAAUGGAGAAAAUCAUCUAUUUUGACGCAGAAAAUCAUAUACGUUGGCAGAGUAAAUCAUCCACGUUGGCAGAUAAAGUUAGAGCGGCUGCUCUGAAAAUGAGCAUUGAAACUGCAUAGAAACUUCUGCCCCACCUAGCUCAGCAGUCCAGGACCAGAAGCAAGUCACCAAUGUGAGAGAGACUGAGUGAUCCAGAUCGGGAUGCGUAAAAGGAAGAGCAAAAGGAAGAGGAAGAAGAAGCGGAAGAGGAAGCGGAAAAGGAAACCCAACUGGAAGAACAUUCUUCGAAGAUGGUUACAAAGGUCGGUCAAACAUUCUGCAGUAACAGCCCCUCGUUUGCGUUAAUCAAUGCCUAGUGUAUAGCCUUAGCUCAUCUGGGGUCUUGAGAAGAUCAAAAGGAGGACAAGAAAUAUAAGGAGGAUUUGGGGAAGCAUCCUUACGAUCCUACAAAAACUUAGCAAGUGAUUUCUACACUGACAAGUUGAGGGAUGAUUUCUGUAACCCCUCAGGAGAAUAUGUCCUGGAAUAGGGUCAUCAAACCUCAGAGUUAGAGAGCUGUUCUGUAGUUCUUACAAAACUAUCCAGUCCGACCCCCUCAUUUAACAGAUGGAGAAUCCAUCUGGGGAAGUACUUGCCCAAAAUCACAAAAGAGGCAAAGAUGGGAUUUGAACUCAGUCUUCUGACUUCAAGUCCAAGGUUCUUUUGAAGGGACCUUAGAGAUACUAUGGUCCUAAUCUGUAAAUUUGCAGCUGGUAAAACUGAGGCCUUGAGGGCAAACUGGCCUGAGCUCCUGGUCUACUACUAAUUAGCUAUAAUGCAGAAGAAGUAAGCAUCCCAGCAUGCUUGCAAAUAAUACAUGUACCUGGGCCCAAAGCAUUUGAUUUUCUGGCAUUUCUAAAGAGGAAAUAAUAGACAGAGAUAGACCAUUUUGUUCAAACUGUGUAAGCAGCUUUGGUGUAACUGCUACUCUGGGCUCAGGCAGUGAAAAUAAUCAGAACCAUGGAGCAAUGUGGUCUCCCUGGGGAGCCACACCCUAUUUUUUGGCCCAAGACCAUUUUCCUCAAUGGAGCAUUGGCUCCUGGGAAACCAUUGUACUUAAUGGGGCAUUGGCUCCUAUAAACGAUUGUGCUUAAUGGGGCAUUGGCUCCUAGAAACCAUUGUGCCUAACGGAGCAUUGGCUCCGAGUGGCUCCAGGUACGCUCCUGGAGGGGCUCUGGAGCCACAGACACUGUAGGCUGAACUCCCUCUUAAGAUGGCUGAGUGAAGCCUGUUAAAGAGUCGGUUGCUCAGGGAGAGGGAGGGAUUAUGCCAGAGCUGUCACUAGACUACUGAUUUCAUUCAUUAUGUCACUUCCCUGUUCAAAGACUUUCCAGUGGUUCCCUGUUCCUAAUAGGAUCAAAUCCAGAUUCAUUAGGCUGGUGGCCACAUUCCAGUCCCAUACUACCUUUUCCAACCCUAUCUCCCAUCCUUCAAAUGAUUCAACACUACAAGGAUCUGUAAUUUCACUGGUGUGGGAACUCCUUUCACUGAUACAGGUUAUAACCCCUUCUGUGGCUUAGCUGAUGUUCUUUGAGAGGCACUGUUUCCAAAAACUUUCAUCACCAUGAGGCCGACCUGGCCCUAAGUCUUUAUGAACUUAGCUUGGCUGGUCCUCAUACAACAGUCCAUCCUUGGCCCAUCCUUGGAGACCUGGCAAGGGAGCUUGUCCUCCUACCCCCCUGGGGCACAGACUUCAAGGAUUCCCAGUCACCUUCUCCACACCACAAUGAGACCUCUGAAGAGGGUCACUUGAGCUGAGCUUUACAGAGGAGAUGAGACUUGAACCCUGUCAUCUUUCAAAGGCUUAGCUCAAGCCCUACAUCUUCCAUGAAGCCUUCCCUGACCCACACAGUCUCAGGGGACCUCUCCCUCUUCUGAACUCAAACAGCACUUGUCUGUACUGUAUUGUUUGAUUGGCACUCACAUCAUAUACUGUCCAGUGAGUGUUCUCUUAUUGUCUUGUAUUGUUACUCAGCUUAACCUAUGUGUGAGCCUGGGUUCCCUUGCCGAAUGGUGAGCUCAAGCUUGUGUUGAGGGCCGGGAAUGUGCUUUAUAUGUCUUUGUAGCUCCCAGGGUGAAUGUAGUCUAGCACUGGGCUAGGCACAUAGUUCCCUUGGGUUGGUACUUAUUGUUACUUUUUUUUAGGCUGGGUUAUUAUUUCUUUGAUUAAGAUCCUAAAAGUAAAAUGCUUUCUUCUGGACCUUAGAGAAGCUUAUAAAUAUCUCAGCCUUUGGAAUUUUCAACAUUACUGAAUUGUAUUCCCCUUUGGGAUUGAGUCCUUCCUUGGUAGCAAGAGACGCAUGUACAAUGGAGGGAAAAUGGCAAUGGGAAAACUGUGCCAAGUGAAUGUGUGCCAUUGGGUGGAAGUCACAGGGAGAAAAAUUGUAGCCUAGUACAAGGAACAGUCAGAGGUGUCCUGCAAUGGAUCAGUAGGCCUCAGAAGGGAGUGUGAGCUUCCUGAUGCUGGAAGUGCUCAAACAGAGGCUCAGAGAAGCUCCCCCUCCACCCACUCUCCCCACAGCAAUAUCACAGAGUGGGAGGAUGGUCUAGACUACUUAAAAAAGCCUUCCUGUUUCUGAGUCUUUGUAACACUUCUGGAAUAUUGUGGGUAUUCCCAACAAAUGUUGUGACCCCUCUACAAACUUAGAAGUGGGUCUUUAGAGAGUUGCUGUGGGGAAUUUUGUAAGAUACUCCUCCACCAACAGACCUAUGGCACUGCACAGGAGCCUGUCCUGAGAGUCUCAGAUUUUAUAAUAAGGGGCACAUUACAGAGUGUCCUGUGAUUAUGUCACAGCAUUUAGGAGCUGUGAGGGGCAGAGCUGGGCCAUCAUGAAAAGGAAAGUCCAUGGGCCAAGGGGUUUGCUUAAACUCUAGCAUAAGGGAAGGGGAUCACAUUGUAGGGGGACAAAAAAAGUCUAUCCAACAGCACCAAGUUUGCUGCUGCUGUCUGACAGCUGACAGCUGGAGAUCUCCCUUUCUUCCCCUUCCCUCCUCCUCUUUGCUCACUCUUCCCUGGUUGAGCUCCUUUUUGGAAGGACUUUCCAAUUUGUUCAGAGGCUGUGCUUGAAAAGGCACUGGCUAGAAUGUGGCCCAAGGUACCCGUAACCAAGCCUCUGCAAUUAGAGACUUGAUUCUUGCCCCUCUUUGGGAAUAUUGUGACACCGGCAUGUGUGACUUUCCAGGUGGCUGAAAAGGCAGCAAGAUUUCUUGGGCCAGGGGUAUGAGUAACGAAGAAGAGGGAGGAGCAGGAAACUCUCCUACCUAGAAAGGGGGCCUUCCCCUGGCCCUGAAAGGCAAUUUGACAGUGACAAUAAGAACAGAACCCAUUAUGGAAGAGUUCAUGAUUUCAAAAAUUGAGAGUCAAACCGUGCCUCCUGACACCAGCGAUUGGCAGAAAUGUGGUAGACUAUGAUUAGUAUAGAACUUAAAUAUUCACUUGGUGCCCUCCCCCUUUGUACGCUGGUUCUAGCCUAUCCUUCCUUUACAACACCAGCAUUAUAUAGAGGUUUUGUUGUAGAUACCAAACAGUAUUGCAACUUGUAUUCAUAGAGUUUCAUCCGGGGAAUGCGUCAAGUUCACACCUACCACUUGAGGGAUAGUCACAACACCUAUUUCAAGGUAGCAGAAGCAGGAACAGUCAAUCUUGUUCUGUUUCAGCAUUAAACAAUUCCUCGUAGGAAAGAAAAAUAAACAGUAGCAGUAAUUUGGUGACUCAUAGAGGGAAUGCAACAUGCGGUACCCAUAGGUGCUCACCUCUCAGCCAAGAGAGGAAGGCAUAUUUCAUUAGCUGGUCUUUGGAACCAAGAAAAGUCAUUCUAACUGUGCAGAGUUUGGGUUCCUUUUUUUCAUUCUUUUCAUUUAUUGUAUAUACAUAUAUAUGCAUAUAUAUUCUUCUCUUGAAUAGGCUUACUUGAUUGCAUCCGUUUAUAUAGGUCUGCCCAUAUUUCUCUGAAUUCCUCACACUUGUCCUUUCACACGACAUAAUAACACUACAUUACAUGGACACUGGAAAACAGUCAUUCCCUGAAUGAAGGACACCUGGUUUAUUUUCCAUUCUUUGCUAAAAUACACACACACACACACACACACACACACAUAUACACACACAUAGCACCUAUAUCAAGUUUAGUUGAAACAGGUAUGAUCAGAACCAUUGCAGUUCCACACUAAAUCUGCCUUGUGGUAGGGGAAAACAGUCAGGCAUUAGCAACUCCAAGGUCACCCUGGCUGACAGUGUAGGCAACAGUGUGCAGCCACAGACUCAAACCUCUCAUCCCAAGAAGGGGAAGUAUAAUGCAUUAUCUGAUUUCUACAGUCGACACAGGUCAUUACAAUUAGCCAGAGUUCAGCUUCUUUUUAGUGUUUGUUUGUUUUUCCAGUUAGAUUAUUGUAGUCAUUGUAUAUAUUCUGCUCCUGAUUGAACUUUCUUCACUCAUAAGAUCAAAGAAGUCUUUAAAUGUUUCUUGAUUUCUUAAUAUUACUCCUUUAUUCCUGUACAAUAAUAUGUUACGUUCGUACGUGAGGACAUGAUUUACUCACCCAUUCCUCUAGGGGAAGGCACCCGGGUUGUUUCCAAUUCUUUACUACAAAGUAUAAUUGACUGCACCUAUAAAAAGGUAGAAAGAGCAGGUAUGGUCGUCCCCACUGGAAAUCCACCUUGAACAUGCCUUGUAGCAAAGAAAAACUGAAGCAACAACAACCCAAAGGGUGACCCUGUCAGGCAACGAAUGUAAAAAGAGUGAAACUGUAGAGCCCAAACUCUAAGACCAAAAGAGAAAGUCAUGGUUCAGUAUCUACUGUUGGGGAAAAAAAUGGUCUUGAAAAUUAUUCAGAGUUUAGUUUCUUUUUACUUUUAUAUUACUGUAAAUGGUGAAUAUAUUUUUAUUUUAGACAGAUUUUCUUUACAUAAAUUUAUUAAGCAUCUUCUAGGGAUUCUCAAAAUUCCUGGCCUUUUCAUAUUCUUCUUAUAAAAUUGUAUUGAGUUAUAGUCAUAAAGAAAGGCUUCCUCAAAAUGUUCUCUUCCUUUACGUACUUACCGUAUUCACUGAACUGACAACAGUUGUGGAAAAAAGUGAACAAAAAUCCAUCUACGUCUUAACACGUAGGGAGGAAGGUGUCAUAUUUUCUCAUUCAUUCUUUGUAAAUACACAGACAAGGGAUUCUUCUUCAUUCUCUUUUUCUUUUCAAGACUGCAGCCAGUAUAUGGUCACAAAUCUGUCAGUCAUGUCUCAUCUGAAAGGCUUACUGGUUUAUUUCCACUUCUGUGAUUGAGUGUACAUUAACAAAACCUCCCGCAGGAGGAGCAUGGCUGGCUACUGCCAUGUAAGUACCACCAUGACCCUGCCCGUUAGUAAAACGAAUAAAAGAUGUAAAAAAAGAUCACAGCUGAAUGGAAUCCAUAUGAGUAAAAAGGUGCCAAAAUUUAAAAUGGCAGAGCCCCAGUUGACCUUCCAGAGGAGGGAUCCUGGUUGCCUUUUAUCUAUUCUAUCACAUAGAAAGUGGUGGGUCACUCUAUUGGUAACUAGAGGUCAUUAUAAUUACUCCGAUAGCAUUUUGCUUUUUCCUCUCUUUAUCCACUGGCAAAAUCGACCACGGUAGAGACAAUAAAAAUUGACCAUCUGGAAUUGUUCAGUUGUAGGGCCUUCAGUUCCAUUCCACAUUGUGGCUAGCUAUUAUAUCAAUUCUGACAUUAAAAAGUAAAAUGAGCACGGUGGUUUACACUUAUGUGACACCUUGAACAUGAAUAGAAGAAGGAAAAAAAUAAUAACUCAGCAAAAAGUGACCACGUAUGAAAGAGAAGGCAUUAUUUGGUUUCAUAUUGCCAUAGCUCUCUGGACAUAGAAGGAAAAUGAUUCCUAAUUUACUCACACACAACCAUAUUAGUAACUAUAAACAAUGAAAUCCAGCAACUCUCUGAUCUUAUUUAUCAAACAAAAAAAAAUAUAGAAAGUCACUAGAUAGCAGUUGUCACCUUGAUACUGAGGGCAUUCUAUUAAGUCUAGCUCAAGGAAAAAGGAAAAGAGAGGUCUGAACUCUCAUAUGGUAUUCCUUGAAUUAGUUCUCUAGCAAAGAAAAUUCAUUUCAAAAAUAACAAGGGAAAAAGUAAUCCUGUCUUAUGGGGUAAACUUUAUUGAACCUAAGUUCCCCACAAAUCAAACAAGAACCAGGCAGCAAAUAUUUUAAACACUUUCCUCAUUGCUGCAUUGCUAACUCUAAUAUGUCAUUUAAAGACUUCUCUUAAAACUCUCCUACCUCUAUCACACAGUUGUCAGUGCAGAGAUGAAGGUUCCUCAGUCAUUCUACCUCAGAACAUUCAACCAAUUUGUUUCCAUUUCUUCAUGUAAAGUGCUUCCCUUCCAUAGGAAUAAAAGGGGAAAACACAAGGGGGAGGUGCCACAUUGCACCUGGAGUCGCCACCAAGCAGGGGCAGCAGGUACUCUAACCAUCUGGCUCUCUGCCCUACUGCCCACUCCAAAUCAAGGACAGCCUUGUUCCUUCUGCUCUUUUGCUAGCAUCGCAUAAUCCUGAGUAGAGAAAAAGGUUUCUCAGCCAUUCUACACCCAUAGGGCCCCUGAUUUGUAUCCACUUCUCUGUUACAUGUGGCUUCUGGUCCAUUGGCAUUGAGGGGGAGUCCACAUGGCCACCAUGGCUUAUCCACCUCGAGCCAGCCCUGUAGCAAAGAAAAUUCACUUGCCCAACAGCCAGCCAAAAGGGAACUUUGUCUGAUAGGGUAAACGCACUCAUGUACCUGUAGCCCCCCACCUUGCAGCACAGAGGUGGGUGCAUGCUUCAUAAUCACCUUUCUUGUAUCCUUACAAGUCCUUCCAGUGAUUCAUGCAGAGGCUUGCUUUCUCUCUUCUUUGACCUCCAACACAAAAUCCUUGGCCUCCUUACAAAGGUUUCUCAGCCAUUCUCCAUCUGCAGGGACCCUGGUAUCUUCCUAUUUCUUUGUCACACAGGGCCUGUGUUCCACCUGGAUCAAGGCAAAUCCACAUGAGUGUCUGCCCUCAUGUAUGGUGCUCCUUAACCUAGCUGUGUACCAAAGAAAACUCACUUUCUGAACAGCUAGACAAAAGGGAACCCUCUCUGUCAGGGUAGGUACCACACUGCAUCCUCAUUCCCCACCUUGCAGCCCAGAGGUGGUGGUUGGUUUUCUUCUCACCAUUCUCUCAUCCUUAGUGCUCACUCAAUCUUAGGCCAAAACAUCAGUUUUAUCUUUCUCAUUUUGUUCCUCUAUAUGAAAAAUUCACAGACACACAUUAAAACACA
Long non-coding RNA from Trichosurus vulpecula (common brushtail), 7622 nucleotides. RefSeq lists it as uncharacterized. The transcript is spliced from 3 exons. The record is from RefSeq and is a predicted model, not a curated record. NCBI's taxonomy places the organism in Eukaryota, Metazoa, Chordata, Mammalia, Diprotodontia, Phalangeridae.